GGUGAGAUGGCCGAGCGGUCCAAGGCGCCAGACUAAGGCUUUGACUUCAUCUGGUCUCUUCGGGGGCGGGAGUUCGAAUCUCCCUCUCAUCA
Molecule: non-coding RNA, 92 nt
Organism: Tricholoma furcatifolium
Lineage: Eukaryota; Fungi; Basidiomycota; Agaricomycetes; Agaricales; Tricholomataceae
Source: the annotation of a GenBank genome assembly